UUUAAAGUGUAAUGUAAGUCGCUUUGGAUAAAAGCGUCUGCUAAAUGACAUGAC
Regulatory RNA element from Gasterosteus aculeatus (three-spined stickleback), 54 nucleotides. It matches the Rfam family "UnaL2 LINE 3' element". Rfam says of the family: The eel long interspersed element (LINE) UnaL2 and its partner short interspersed element (SINE) share a conserved 3' tail containing a stem-loop that is critical for their retrotransposition. Lineage: Eukaryota; Metazoa; Chordata; Actinopteri; Perciformes; Gasterosteidae. The record is from Rfam.